This 333-nucleotide long non-coding RNA is filed under the name Vigna radiata. RNAcentral's name for it is "long non-coding RNA (VRAD_LNC003179)". The record is from RNAcentral. Lineage: Eukaryota; Viridiplantae; Streptophyta; Magnoliopsida; Fabales; Fabaceae.
AGUCAUAAGGGCAAAUGUGUAGAAAAUCGUUAGGUUUCGCCAAACAACAGUACAACCUAUGUAAUGGACAAUACAUUACUAUUUGAACACUUCGACUUACCAAAAUAACAAAAACAAACACACAAGCACAGUGGCAGAGAUGACCUUUCACCAAACGCACAAAACGAGAGAGACCAAUGCUUUCACCAAAACCAGAGACAGAGAGAUAGUGCUGCCUUUACCACUUCAAGAAACAAAUAGCAAUGAUUCACAACACAAAAAUGACCAAAAUAGAAACAGAGCAAGGGAGUGGGUUCACCGGAAUGGGUUCAUACAACGGAAUCCCAAAAAAUC